AGAGCUUCAUCUCUCUCGACUACUUUUGGUCCUCCAUUUUCAAUCAAUCAAAGCUUUCUCUAGGGUUUUCAAUUUUUUCGUUUCCGUUCGUUUAAAAACCCUCCGUUUUCUUUGAAACAAACAGAGUUAGCGAUGAUCAUCCGGUUGAUUUUUCUAACCUUUUUUCUGGAAGUGGAAAAUCAAUUAUGCUGAUUACCAUCAAAGUAAAAGAAGGUGUAGUAGCUGAUGAAGAUUACAGAUUACCUAUUGGGCUAUUCGCCUCCUAUUUGGGCGACUUUGAUAGCUGGUGUCCUUUUAGUCAUAACGCUUUCGCUUUCAUUGUAUCUUAUUUUCGAACACCUCUCUUCGUACAAGAAUCCUGAGGAGCAAAAGUUUUUGAUCGGAGUUAUUCUUAUGGUUCCUUGCUACUCUGUAGAAUCGUUUGUAUCAUUGGUGGAUCCAUCAAUUAGCGUUGAUUGUUCGAUACUACGCGAUUGCUAUGAAUCAUUUGCCAUGUAUUGCUUCGGAAGAUACCUUGUUGCUUGCUUGGGUGGUGAAGAGAGGACUAUUGAAUUCAUGGAAAGACUAGGACGCGCAAGUGCUAAAACUCCACUAUUGGGACUUGACUGUGAAAAGGGAACUGUUAAGCACCCUUUUCCCAUGAAUUAUAUCCUAAGACCAUGGAAACUUGGUCAAUGGUUUUACCAAGUUGUCAAGUUCGGCAUAGUCCAAUAUAUGAUAAUCAAGUUAUUGACUGCUCUUUUAGCAGUAAUUCUUGAAGCUUUUGGUGUAUAUUGUGAAGGAGAAUUCAAAUGGGGAUGUGGGUAUCCUUAUAUGGCGGUGGUUCUCAAUUUUAGUCAGUCAUGGGCUUUAUACUGUUUAGUUCAAUUUUAUACUGUCACAAAGGAUGAACUGGCUCACAUAAAGCCAUUGGCCAAGUUUUUGACUUUUAAAUCAAUUGUGUUUUUAACUUGGUGGCAAGGUGUGGCGAUUGCCCUUUUUUAUGCUCUUGGUCUGUUCAGAAGUCCAAUUGCUGAAGGCUUGCAGUUCAAGUCAAGUGUCCAAGACUUCAUUAUAUGUAUAGAGCACAGAUGGGCAUUGCUUCUGUUGUUCACCUAUAUGUUUUCCCUUCCAAACCUUAUGAGCUAAUGGGAGAUCGCAUUCCCGGAAGUGUUUCAAUCCUUGGAGACUAUGCAUCUGUUGAUUGCCCUCUGGAUCCUGAUGAGGUUAGGGACAGUGAGCGACCCACAAAGCUACGCCUACCUCAGCCUGACAUAGAGGUUCGAAGUGGAAUGACCAUCAAAGAAAGUGUGAAGGACGUAUUUAUUGGUGGUGGUGGAUAUAUUGUGAAUGAUGUAAAAUUUACGGUAAACCAAGCAGUUGAGCCUGUUGAGAAGGGGAUUACCAAGUUCAAUGAGAAACUGCAUAAGAUCUCUCAAAACAUCAAGAGGCAUGACAAAGACAGGAGAAAGACAAAGGAUGAUAGUUGCCUUGCCACAUCUGCACGGAGGGUAAUUCGCGGUAUAGAUGAUCCCCUCUUAAAUGGGAGCAUUAGUGAUAGUGGGGUUGCAAGGGGAAAGAAACAUCGUAGAAAAUCAGGAUAUACCAGUGCAGAAAGUGGAGGAGAAAGCAGCAGUGAUCAGAGCCAUGGUGGAUAUCAGAUUAGGGGCCGUAGAUGGGUUACAAAGGAUUAAAGCUUAUGUGAAUAAUUGUGGCUAUAUGAACAGAAGACAUGCUGGUGUGAGUGCUUCAAGAGACAUCCCUAUUCUUAGCUUUUGGGUGGCUUUCUUGGUUGACAUGCUCAAGAGCAUUGUUUCUGCAAGAGGCGGCUGAAGAUUUCUUUCGAAUUCCUGCUGUUGAUAUUUUCCCAUCAAAUGGGGUGGUUGUUUAUGCAGGGGACUCAGUGGGUAAGUACUGUAAUAGGUGUCAUGUUGUAUACAGUUUAUUCAGGGCUUGGCCAUUGCAUACAAAGAAUCAAGAAUCGAGUUGCAUGACUGGUGACAUCUUUGCUCAUAAUUUUUUGAGAGAUGUUUUCAGGCCAAACCAAGCUUGACUAAUGUCUGGAAAUCAUUGCCCUGAAAGUUUUGAACAGAUCAGAGCUAUCUGUAUUCUUGCUAUGAAUAUAUGCACGAUAUUUGAAAGCA
Non-coding RNA from Theobroma cacao (cacao), 2123 nucleotides. NCBI's taxonomy places the organism in Eukaryota, Viridiplantae, Streptophyta, Magnoliopsida, Malvales, Malvaceae. The record is from RefSeq and is a predicted model, not a curated record.